AUACCAUGAUGCGAGCACUUCCUUAACAAUUCUUUAAAUCUUUCCCAUGCAUCAUACUACAAUUGACCUUUUAUCUGGUAGAAAUUAUUGAUUUCCCCUCUCAACUU
This is a small nucleolar RNA of Humulus lupulus (European hop), 107 nucleotides long. The record is from RefSeq and is a predicted model, not a curated record. Lineage: Eukaryota; Viridiplantae; Streptophyta; Magnoliopsida; Rosales; Cannabaceae.